Molecule: ribosomal RNA, 468 nt
Filed under: uncultured bacterium
Lineage: Bacteria
Description: partial 16S ribosomal RNA
Rfam family: Bacterial small subunit ribosomal RNA
Source: RNAcentral
GACGAACGCUGGCGGCGUGCUUAACACAUGCAAGUCGAACGGAAAGGCCCUGCUUUUGUGGGGUGCUCGAGUGGCGAACGGGUGAGUAACACGUGAGUAACCUGCCCUUGACUUUGGGAUAACUUCAGGAAACUGGGGCUAAUACCGGAUAGGAGCUCCUGCUGCAUGGUGGGGGUUGGAAAGUUUCGGCGGUUGGGGAUGGACUCGCGGCUUAUCAGCUUGUUGGUGGGGUAGUGGCUUACCAAGGCUUUGACGGGUAGCCGGCCUGAGAGGGUGACCGGCCACAUUGGGACUGAGAUACGGCCCAGUCUCCUACGGGAGGCAGCAGUGGGGAAUAUUGCACAAUGGGCGGAAGCCUGAUGCAGCAACGCCGCGUGCGGGAUGACGGCCUUCGGGUUGUAAACCGCUUUCGCCGGUGACGAAGCGUGAGUGACGGUAAUGGGUAAAGAAGCACCGGCUAACUACGUG